GACGAACGCUGGCGGCGUGCCUAAUACAUGCAAGUCGAGCGAAUCAAUAGGAGCUUGCUCCUGUUGGUUAGCGGCGGACGGGUGAGUAACACGUGGGCAACCUGCCUGUAAGACUGGGAUAACUUCGGGAAACCGGGGCUAAUACCGGAUAAUCCUUUUCCACUCAUGUGGGAAAGCUGAAAGUCGGUUUCGGCUGACACUUACAGAUGGGCCCGCGGCGCAUUAGCUAGUUGGUGAGGUAACGGCUCACCAAGGCGACGAUGCGUAGCCGACCUGAGAGGGUGAUCGGCCACACUGGGACUGAGACACGGCCCAGACUCCUACGGGAGGCAGCAGUAGGGAAUCUUCCGCAAUAGACGAAAGUCUGACGGAGCAACGCCGCGUGAGCGAUGAAGGCCUUCGGGUCGUAAAGCUCUGUUGUUAGGGAAGAAUAAGUAUCGGAGUAACUGCCGGUACCUUGACGGUACCUAACCAGAAAGCCACGGCUAACUACGUGCCAGCCGCCGCCGUAA
This 512-nucleotide ribosomal RNA is filed under the name uncultured bacterium. RNAcentral describes it as "partial 16S ribosomal RNA". It matches the Rfam family "Bacterial small subunit ribosomal RNA", at positions 28 to 523 of the family's 1533-position model. The record is from RNAcentral.